This is a long non-coding RNA of Macaca mulatta (Rhesus monkey), 347 nucleotides long. RefSeq lists it as uncharacterized. NCBI's taxonomy places the organism in Eukaryota, Metazoa, Chordata, Mammalia, Primates, Cercopithecidae. The record is from RefSeq and is a predicted model, not a curated record.
UUCUGCUAAUUUUACUCUUUCAGAAAGAGUUGCAACAGUAUCACCCCUCUUCACGGGAACAGCUUCUUGCAAAAUAAUUUGUCCAGCAUCUACCUCUUCCUGGAAAAAUCUGAAGUCAAACAGGAGUUGGAUUCUGGGAUGGAUGUUUUCUUUGCCAAACACAGAAAUGAGGUAAAAGGAAGUUCUCAUCCACAAAGGUCCCGGAAGUAGCAAGUACCCGCCUUGCACAGCCAAAGGCAUGCUGGGAUGCUCUGAACAGACACUCAUGGUGACAGGAAGGUGGGGAGUUCAAGCUGAUACCAGCUUGUUGCUGGCACAUACUAUUAAAAAGAAGCAAGAGGUUCUUA